GAUCAGCAGCAGAAACAGGCAACCUCAUGGGAGUCCGAGUCCUCACUUCCCAGCCAGGCACACAGACAACUUCCAGUGCAGUUUCUACCACACCAGUGACCAGCACCCUGCCAGCAGAGGCACCCACCCACACUGUGAGCAGUUUGUGUGAGGUGGAGCUGAGGAGCAGCUACAAGCCAGAGUCGGGAGUUCCUCAGCCUGCUCUUCCCUCAUCAGUUCCCCUGCCUAUGCCAGGCAUGAAGAUUCACCUCCCAACAGCUCACACAGAUGCACAGUAUGGGAGGCUUUGGGUUUAAUUGGCUUCAUACCAUGCAAGGAGUUUUCUGAACACCACUUUGGAUUUUAAAAGCAGCUGCGCUGAUAUCUUCAAAUCUCAGAAACUCAUUCUUUGGUCUCACACUGGACUUCUGGACUUUUGGAACAACAAAUUCAACAGCAUCCUUCAAUGGUUCCUCCACAUUUCCUGCAGUUUUUAUUUCCCAUGUUGUUACGUCUCUGUUCAGGUAUUCCUCUUCUACAAAGUCCUUCAGUCUCUCAGGGUGGAUUGGAGGGACAUGUGGCCCAUUUUUGUCUCCUUGUCUUGGGCCAUUUUUUUGAGUCUGUGUCUUCAUUUUCCCUGAUGCAUUUUUCUUUUUGUCUUGACCUUCAUCCUUUCUACAAUCAAGCACACAUUAUAAAAAGUAUCUCGCAUUUCAGCACAUUGCCCAAUUUAUAGAUGUUUCAUUACAUGCAGGGAUAUAUAUAUAUAUAUAUAUAUAUAAAAGUAUUCAAUUGUCUUA
Molecule: long non-coding RNA, 779 nt
Organism: Pseudophryne corroboree (corroboree frog)
Lineage: Eukaryota; Metazoa; Chordata; Amphibia; Anura; Myobatrachidae
Exons: 2
Source: RefSeq, a predicted model, not a curated record